AUUGAACGCUGGCGGCAUGCCUUACACAUGCAAGUCGAACGGCAGCGGGGGAGAAGCUUGCUUUUCCUGCCGGCGAGUGGCGAACGGGUGAGUAAUACAUCGGAACGUGCCCUGUAGUGGGGGAUAACUAGUCGAAAGAUUAGCUAAUACCGCAUACGACCUGAGGGUGAAAGUGGGGGACCGCAAGGCCUCAUGCUAUAGGAGCGGCCGAUGUCUGAUUAGCUAGUUGGUGGGGUAAAGGCCUACCAAGGCGACGAUCAGGAGCUGGUCUGAGAGGACGAUCAGCCACACUGGGACUGAGACACGGACCAGACUCCUACGGGAGGCAGCAGUGGGGAAUUUUGGACAAUGGGCGAAAGCCUGAUCCAGCAAUGCCGCGUGUGUGGAGAAGGCCUUCGGGUUGUAAAGCACUUUUGUCCGGAAAGAAAUGGCUCUGGUUAAUACCUGGGGUCGAUGACGGUACCGGAAGAAUAAGGACCGGCUAACUACGUGCCAGCAGCCGCAGUAA
This 508-nucleotide ribosomal RNA is filed under the name uncultured bacterium. RNAcentral describes it as "partial 16S ribosomal RNA". It matches the Rfam family "Bacterial small subunit ribosomal RNA", at positions 30 to 523 of the family's 1533-position model. The record is from RNAcentral.